AGUAGGCCAAUUAUAUGCAGUUGGUGCGUUGCCCUGAUGGGGAGGAGUCAGUUGUUGUUUGGCCGUUGUUUUAAUUCUUCAUAUUGGGUGCAGAUUUGAGAACCAUUAGCUCCGUUUUGCUGAAUGAAAGCUCAAGACCACGACUAGAAGACAAUAUGAUGAUGAAGCUACGGAAACACGAACAAUAAUUUGAAGAGAAAGUGGGCGUGGCUGAGGAGGAGGUGGAGGCAUAGGAGGAGUUGACAGAGGAGGAGGUGGAAGAGGAGUAGACGGCAGAGGAGGAGAUGGCGGAUGACUGAGAAGAAGGCUAGAGACAACGAGGUGGAAGAGGAGGAUUUGGCAGAUGAGGAGGUGGUGGAUGGCUGAGGAGGUGGAAGAGACAAUAUGAUGA
Molecule: long non-coding RNA, 391 nt
Organism: Lytechinus variegatus (green sea urchin)
Lineage: Eukaryota; Metazoa; Echinodermata; Echinoidea; Temnopleuroida; Toxopneustidae
Exons: 3
Source: RefSeq, a predicted model, not a curated record